AUUGAACGCUGGCGGCAUGCCUUACACAUGCAAGUCGAACGGCAGCACGGGAGCUUGCUCCUGGUGGCGAGUGGCGAACGGGUGAGUAAUACAUCGGAACGUACCCUGAAGUGGGGGAUAACGUAGCGAAAGUUACGCUAAUACCGCAUAUUCUGUGAGCAGGAAAGAGGGGGAUCGCAAGACCUCUUGCUUUAGGAGCGGCCGAUGUCGGAUUAGCUAGUUGGUGAGGUAAAGGCUCACCAAGGCGACGAUCCGUAGCGGGUCUGAGAGGAUGAUCCGCCACACUGGGACUGAGACACGGCCCAGACUCCUACGGGAGGCAGCAGUGGGGAAUUUUGGACAAUGGGCGCAAGCCUGAUCCAGCCAUGCCGCGUGAGUGAAGAAGGCCUUCGGGUUGUAA
Molecule: ribosomal RNA, 400 nt
Filed under: uncultured bacterium
Lineage: Bacteria
Description: bacterial SSU rRNA
Rfam family: Bacterial small subunit ribosomal RNA
Source: RNAcentral